UAGAAAAUAUUAUGGCGAUCCUAAGGGAAACCUUUACUAUAUACACUUCCUGAAGCAAAACAUUGUAUUAGGGAAAGGAAAGGAAAUCAACCGAGACUCCGAAAGUAAUGGUGAGUGAAAUCGGAUUAGCCUAAAAAGGAAGUAAUUUGAAUAGAAUUUUUUUAAUACAAUAAUUAUAUUUUAAUUUAAUAAUAAUUAAAUUAAUUUAUUUUAAAUUUAUUAAAAAAAUUCUAAUAUAUACCAUAAUAGUAUGUAUCCAAAGAAGGUAUAAAGUCCUGUAAAAUUAUUUCUAAAAAAGAAUAAAAAGUACGAUGAGAGAAACCUUGUCGGAAUAUAGGGGUACCAUCCUCUAAGGCUAAGUAUUAUAAAUUUAGCGAUAGUGAAAAGUACUGUAAAGGAAAAGUUGAAAAGAAAGUUGUAUAACAAAGUGAAAUAGACUUGAAUUAGUAAUUCUAUAAGCAGUCGAAGUUUUAUUAUAAAAUGACGGCGUACCUUUUGCAUAAUGGGUCAGCAAGUUAAUGGGAGUAGCAAGGUUAAAAGCCCUAGCGAAAGCGACUAGACUAAUAGUUUUUAAUAUUAUUAUUUAUUAUUAAAAUAUUUUUAUUAAUUAAAAAUAGGGUAAUCCCCUUUAAUAAUUUAUUUAUUAAUUAAAUAAUUAAAAAGUGGAUUAUUGACUAAAUAUUAGUGUUGGAUAAGUUACUUCUAUUAGACCCGAAGCCAGUUGAUCUUUCCAAGACCAGAUUAUAAUGGAUCGAACGGGUGAAUGUUGCAUAAUUCUCCGAAGAGUUUUGGAAAGCGGUGAAAUGCCAAUCUGAACUGGUGAUAGCUGGUUUUCUACGAAACAUAUUUAAGUAUGACAUCUAUUCAAAAUUUAUGGAGGUACAGCACGGUAAUUCCCAACUAAUAAUAAUUUGAUUAAUUUCAACAUUAUUAAGCGUUUAGGUUGCGGGGACCUCGAAAAUCUUACCAAUGGAAGCGAAACUCGGAAUUACAUAAAUUGUUGAUAGAUAUUCAGACUGCUCAUGCUAAGUUGGGUAGUCAAGACGGAAACAGCCGAGAACAAGGAUCAAGGUCCCUAAUGAUUAUUAAGUGAAAUUAAGGAAGUAACACAUUGAAUGCAGCUGUAAAGUGAGCCUGGUAGUCGCUAUCUUUUAAUGACCGUUGUAACAACGUAGCAGCCCUUAGAUUGUUGCGCCGAAAAUUUAACGGGUCUAAAUGAUCAACCGAUAUCUUGUUGAUUAUGAAUAUUAUAAUAUUAAAAAUUUUAUUUUUUUAUUCAUAAUCUAGGUAGUAGAACAUUCAGUCUAACUAAUGAAAAACAGUGUUUCAUUGUUUUGAGGUAACUGAAGAGAGAAUGCUGACAUGAGUAACGUAAAAAGAAGUUAUAAUACUUCUCGCCGAAUACGAAAGGGUUGUAAAGAAAGGUUAAACCUCUUUAUGUUAAUGCGGCCUCUAAGGUUUAAAGCGAAAGCUUUAACUGAUGAGUUAAACACUGAAAGUCCAUAUGGAAAUGGACCAGGAAAAAUAAGUGUAAUAUUUUAUUACUAAUUUUAUUAAAUUAAAAUAGUAUUUAAAUAUAAACUACCGUACCCUAAACCGACACAGGUUCGUAGGUAGAGUAUACUAAGGCGAAGAGCUAAAAGUUGUUAAGGAACUCGGCAAGUUCUCCUCAUAAGUUUGACAAUAAGAGGAACCAUUAAUAAUAAUUUUAGCCAUAAUAUUAUUUAAUUAAAGGUAUAAUAAAAUCGGAGGCCCCGACUGUUUACUAAAAACACAAUUCAGAGCAAUGAUUAAUAUCAUAGUAUUCUGGAUGAAAUUUGCCCAAUGCCAUUAAUAUAAGAGAGGUAAUAGGUAACUGUUACUAAUCGAAAGUCUGGUUAAUAGCGGUCUUAACUAUGAGGAUCCAAAGGUAGCAAAAUAAAUUGGCCAUUAAAUGUGGUCUUGUAUCAAUAAUGUAACGAUGGUCUCACUGUCUCUACAACUUGCUCAGUGAAAUUGAAUUACCCGUGCAGAUGCGGGUUACCUCCAGGGGGACGGGAAGACCCUAUGCAGCUUUACUGUAGUUAGUUAUCAUAUUGAUUAUAAAUUUAAUUAAUAGUAAUUAGGGAUGUCGAUAGACAAAAAUUGGAAAACCUUCGAAUUAAAUUUGGAUCAAUGUUCACCUUAUUUUUUAAAAAAGGGAGAGUUGACUAAUUGGCAGUUUGACUGGGGCGGUCGUCUUUAAUAAAGUAGCAAAGUACAUCCAAAUAUUUCAUUUUUAUAAAUAUCUAUUUAUUUUUUAAAUAAUUAGAAUAUACACACAAAAAAUUUUUUGUUAAAACAGUUACAUUUUAUAAUUUUAUUUUUUUUUAUAAGGUAUGCUAGAAAUUGAAUGGAGAUCAAUUGACCAGUGAAAGGUUAUGGAGAGCGUAAUGGCGGAAAGCAUGCUUAACUGAAAGACUUAGAAGUCGUACAGAUACGUAAGUAGGGCAUAGUGACCCCUCGCUAUAAUAUGGAAUAGACGGGGAUCAAUCGAUAAAAGUUACGCUAGGGAUAACAGGCUGAUAGCCGGCGAGAGUACACAUUGUCCCGGCUGUUUGGCACCUCGAUGUCGACUCAUCCUAUCCUCCGGGGGAAGAAGCUUGGAAGGGUUCGGCUGUUCGCCGAUUAAAAGGGUACGCGAGUUGGGUUUAAUACGACGUGAGUCAGUAUGGUCCCUAUCUUCUGGAGGGAUAAAUAGUAAAAAGGGGCAGACCUUCUAGUACGAAAGGAUCAAUAGGCUGUGUUUCUCUAGUGUACCAAUUGUUGAAAAUAAAAUUAUUUUUUUUUAUUAGUAUGCAUAGUUGGGUAGCCACAAACAUAAUAGAUAAGCGCUGAAUGUAUAUUAAGCAAGAAACUAACCCCUAGAUACUAUCAUCAGUAUAUUUUAAAUAAGAUUUAUAAUAUUUUUAAGCUGAUUUUAUAAGAAAUAGAACAUUUCUAAAUAGGAUGCAAAUGAAAAUAUUGUGAAGUAUUUAGUUUA
RNAcentral lists this ribosomal RNA (3001 nucleotides) under Hericium coralloides. RNAcentral describes it as "bacterial LSU rRNA". It matches the Rfam family "Bacterial large subunit ribosomal RNA". Lineage: Eukaryota; Fungi; Basidiomycota; Agaricomycetes; Russulales; Hericiaceae. The record is from RNAcentral.